This 443-nucleotide ribosomal RNA is filed under the name uncultured soil bacterium. RNAcentral's name for it is "bacterial SSU rRNA". It matches the Rfam family "Bacterial small subunit ribosomal RNA", at positions 26 to 518 of the family's 1533-position model. The record is from RNAcentral.
AGAACGAACGCUGGCGGCAUGCCUAAUACAUGCAAGUCGAACGAACUCUUCGGAGUUAGUGGCGCACGGGUGCGUAACGCGUGGGAAUCUGCCCUUGGGUUCGGAAUAACAGUUGGAAACGACUGCUAAUACCGGAUGAUGACGAAAGUCCAAAGAUUUAUCGCCCAGGGAUGAGCCCGCGUAGGAUUAGCUAGUUGGUGAGGUAAAGGCUCACCAAGGCGACGAUCCUUAGCUGGUCUGAGAGGAUGAUCAGCCACACUGGGACUGAGACACGGCCCAGACUCCUACGGGAGGCAGCAGUAGGGAAUAUUGGACAAUGGGCGAAAGCCUGAUCCAGCAAUGCCGCGUGAGUGAUGAAGCCUUAGGUUGUAAGGCUCUUUACCCGAGAUGAUAAUGACAGUAUCGGAGAAUAAGCCCCGACUAACGUCCGUGCCAGCAGCCGC